This 605-nucleotide ribosomal RNA is filed under the name Brevibacterium sp. RNAcentral's name for it is "bacterial SSU rRNA". It matches the Rfam family "Bacterial small subunit ribosomal RNA", at positions 59 to 673 of the family's 1533-position model. The record is from RNAcentral. Lineage: Bacteria; Bacillati; Actinomycetota; Actinomycetes; Micrococcales; Brevibacteriaceae.
CAGUCGACGCUGAAGCCCGAAGCUUGCUUCUGGUGGAUGAGUGGCGAACGGGUGAGUAACACGUGAGUAACCUGCCCCUGAUUUCGGGAUAAGCCUGGGAAACCGGGUCUAAUACCGGAUACAACCAACCCUCGCAUGAGGGUUGGUGGAAAGUUUUUCGAUCAGGGAUGGGCUCGCGGCCUAUCAGCUUGUUGGUGGGGUAAUGGCCCACCAAGGCGACGAACGGGUAGCCGGCCUGAAAGGGCGACCGGCCACACUGGGACUGAGACACGGCCCAGAACUCCUACGGGAGGCAGCAGUGGGGAAUAUUGCACAAUGGGGGAAACCCUGAUGCAGCGACGCAGCGUGCGGGAUGACGGCCUUCGGGUUGUAAACCGCUUUCAGCAGGGAAGAAGCGAAAGUGACGGUACCUGCAGAAGAAGUACCGGCUAACUACGUGCCAGCAGCCGCGGUAAUACGUAGGGUACGAGCGUUGUCCGGAAUUAUUGGGCGUAAAGAGCUCGUAGGUGGUUGGUCACGUCUGCUGUGGAAACGCAACGCUUAACGUUGCGCGUGCAGUGUGUACGGGCUGACUAGAGUGCAGUAGGGGAGUCUGGAAUUCCUGG